Molecule: long non-coding RNA, 433 nt
Organism: Lycium ferocissimum
Lineage: Eukaryota; Viridiplantae; Streptophyta; Magnoliopsida; Solanales; Solanaceae
Exons: 3
Source: RefSeq, a predicted model, not a curated record
AAUAUAAAUAGAGCCCCCAACGUUUUAGGCCCUCAUUUUCAUCAAUAUUAAACCCUAGAACAGCCCUUAUACUCUCCCAAAUUUAUUCUCCAUCAAUCACAACUAAGUUCAAAGGCAAAUCAAGUGAUUACAACAUAAGGAAUCACAUGACAAUCAUAGAAUCGUAGAUUUCUCGUUGUUUCGAUUUUCGGAAGAAAGCUUCAUCUUGAAAUAACUUAAGUUGCAGAGUAUUAUUCAACUUUUGAGGUAGUCGUUCAUAAGGUAUUCAAGGACCCGGAAGACGCGUAUAGCUCUAUCAACGAGGUGCUGAUAGACAGGCCGGCGUGCCUCCGCAGUAGGACACCGAGAUCAGCGGUUGAGUAUCGCACUCCACUUCUUCGCAGUUCUUGGUUGUGAGUCUAUAGGUACGUAUACAUAUGUAUAUGUAUAGUUU